CAGUAGCCGCGGUAAUACGUAGGGUGCGAGCGUUAAUCGGAAUUACUGGGCGUAAAGCGUGCGCAGGCGGUUGUGUAAGACAGGUGUGAAAUCCCCGGGCUUAACCUGGGAACUGCGCUUGUGACUGCACAGCUAGAGUAUGGCAGAGGGGGGUGGAAUUCCACGUGUAGCAGUGAAAUGCGUAGAGAUGUGGAGGAACACCGAUGGCGAAGGCAGCCCCCUGGGCCAAUACUGUCGCUCAUGCACGAAAGCGUGGGGAGCAAACAGGAUUAGAUACCCGCGUAGUCCCUGUCUCUUAUAC
Molecule: ribosomal RNA, 301 nt
Filed under: uncultured bacterium
Lineage: Bacteria
Description: partial 16S ribosomal RNA
Rfam family: Bacterial small subunit ribosomal RNA
Source: RNAcentral